AAAGGGCGAAGUCAACGGAGAUGGGGAGCACGCCUUUGCAAUUUUAGUGAAAUAGGGCAAAUGAGGAGUCGGAUCUUUGGCAACACAUUCGCUGAUGUGGUGGGGACUAUGGCGUUAAUGGCUUUAGGGCUCUAGGGUUUCUUAUUUAGUUUUUAGGUUUGGGGCUUUUGGGUUGUUGGGUUAUUGGGCUUUAGGGUUUAGGUUAG
This 206-nucleotide long non-coding RNA is filed under the name Gossypium raimondii (Peruvian cotton). RNAcentral describes it as "long non-coding RNA (GRAI_LNC001973)". The record is from RNAcentral. Lineage: Eukaryota; Viridiplantae; Streptophyta; Magnoliopsida; Malvales; Malvaceae.